RNAcentral lists this ribosomal RNA (322 nucleotides) under uncultured Gigaspora. RNAcentral describes it as "partial large subunit ribosomal RNA". The record is from RNAcentral. Lineage: Eukaryota; Fungi; Glomeromycota; Glomeromycetes; Diversisporales; Gigasporaceae.
UUGAAAGGGAAACGAUUGAAGUCAGUCAUGCCGGUGGGAAUCAACUUAGGGGAAACUCUAAGUGCACUUCUUCGCUUGGCAGGUCAACGUCGAUUUUGGAUGUCAUAAAAUGAUUGGGGGAAGGUAGCUCCUUAGGGAGUGUUAUAGCCCUUGGUAGAUGCUGAAUGAUGUCUGGGAUCGAGGAUUGCAAGGGUUUGGAUACCCUUUGGGGCUAGCUGCCUGAUCUCUAAUUGGUAUUGGGUUACGGAUAGCAUGCUGACCGUGAUCUAAUUAUUGGUUAAAAGGUUAGAGCGUGCAUAAAUUCGUUAAGGAUGUUGACGUA